This 91-nucleotide transfer RNA is filed under the name Methylobacterium thuringiense. Its description in RNAcentral is "tRNA-Arg". Lineage: Bacteria; Pseudomonadati; Pseudomonadota; Alphaproteobacteria; Hyphomicrobiales; Methylobacteriaceae. The record is from RNAcentral.
CCUGCUCGGCCGCCGUGCGGCGGAGCGGCUCGCCGCCUUCGACGCGCCGUCGGCGGCUUGAGGCGAGCGAUCGUGCCCUUCGAUCAGAUCC